GCCCUGGAACGGGCCGUCAUAGAGGGUGAGAAUCCCGUCUGGGAUGGGGUGUCCACGCCCGUGUGAAGCUCCUUCGACGAGUCGAGUUGUUUGGGAAUGCAGCUCUAAAUGGGUGGUAAAUUUCAUCUAAAGCUAAAUACUGGCCGGAGACCGAUAGCGCACAAGUAGAGUGAUCGAAAGAUGAAAAGCACUUUGAAAAGAGAGUUAAACAGCACGUGAAAUUGUUGAAAGGGAAGCGCUUGCNACCAGACUCGCCCACGGGGUUCAGCCGGCAUUCGUGCNGUNGUACUUCCCCGCGGGCGGNCCAGCGUC
RNAcentral lists this ribosomal RNA (312 nucleotides) under soil fungal sp. DM028. Its description in RNAcentral is "eukaryotic LSU rRNA". It matches the Rfam family "Eukaryotic large subunit ribosomal RNA", at positions 187 to 503 of the family's 3401-position model. Lineage: Eukaryota; Fungi. The record is from RNAcentral.